Molecule: ribosomal RNA, 393 nt
Filed under: uncultured bacterium
Lineage: Bacteria
Description: bacterial SSU rRNA
Rfam family: Bacterial small subunit ribosomal RNA
Source: RNAcentral
AACGAACGUUGGCGGCGUGCCUAACACAUGCAAGUCGAGCGCGGGCAGGACUUCGGUCCUGUUCCGAGCGGCGCACGGGUGAGUAACACGUGAGUAACCUGCCUCGAAGUUUGGGAUAACCGCCCGAAAGGGUGGCUAAUACCGGAUAAGCCCCCACUGGCACAGGCCAGAGAGGGAAAAGCCUUGGCGCUUCGAGAUGGGCUCGCGUCCCAUUAGCUAGUUGGUGAGGUAACGGCUCACCAAGGCGAAGAUGGGUAGCUGGUCUGAGAGGAUGAUCAGCCACACUGGAACUGAGACACGGUCCAGACUCCUACGGGAGGCAGCAGUGGGGAAUCGUUGCGCAAUGGGCGAAAGCCUGACGCAGCGACGCCGCGUGGGUGAUGAAGGCCUCGG